GAUGAAGAACGCAGCGAAAUGCGAUAAGUAAUGUGAAUUGCAGAAUUCAGUGAAUCAUCGAAUCUUUGAACGCACAUUGCGCCCCCUGGUAUUCCGGGGGGCAUGCCUGUCCGAGCGUCAUUACAACCCUCAAGCUCAGCUUGGUAUUGGGCCCCGCCGACCCGGCGGGCCCUAAAGUCAGUGGCGGUGCCGUCCGGCUCCGAGCGUAGUAAUUCUUCUCGCUCUGGAGGUCCGGUCGUGUGCUCGCCAGCAACCCCCAAUUAUUUUCAGGUUGACCUCGGAUCAGGUAGGGAUACCCGCUGAACUUAAGCAUAUCAAUAAGCGGAGGA
RNAcentral lists this unclassified non-coding RNA (329 nucleotides) under soil metagenome. RNAcentral describes it as "partial contains 5.8S ribosomal RNA, internal transcribed spacer 2, and large subunit ribosomal RNA". The stretch from base 1 to 120 matches the Rfam family "5.8S ribosomal RNA", at positions 35 to 154 of the family's 154-position model. The record is from RNAcentral.